AUCGCUUCUCAGCCUUUUGGCUAAGAUCAAGUGUAGUAUUAAACACUCAUCUUCAAAUUUCAUAUUUCUUUUUUAGCCUGUGCUACUCUGU
This is a small nuclear RNA of Heterocephalus glaber (naked mole-rat), 91 nucleotides long. Its record names the gene U2. It matches the Rfam family "U2 spliceosomal RNA". Rfam says of the family: U2 is a small nuclear RNA (snRNA) component of the spliceosome (involved in pre-mRNA splicing). Complementary binding between U2 snRNA (in an area lying towards the 5' end but 3' to hairpin I) and the branchpoint sequence (BPS) of the intron results the bulging out of an unpaired adenosine, on the BPS, which initiates a nucleophilic attack at the intronic 5' splice site, thus starting the first of two transesterification reactions that mediate splicing. The record is from Ensembl. NCBI's taxonomy places the organism in Eukaryota, Metazoa, Chordata, Mammalia, Rodentia, Bathyergidae.